GAUGAACGCUGGCGGCGUGCCUAAUACAUGCAAGUCGAGCGAACGGACGAGAAGCUUGCUUCUCUGAUGUUAGCGGCGGACGGGUGAGUAACACGUGGAUAACCUACCUAUAAGACUGGGAUAACUUCGGGAAACCGGAGCUAAUACCGGAUAAUAUUUUGAACCGCAUGGUUCAAAAGUGAAAGACGGUCUUGCUGUCACUUAUAGAUGGAUCCGCGCUGCAUUAGCUAGUUGGUAAGGUAACGGCUUACCAAGGCAACGAUGCAUAGCCGACCUGAGAGGGUGAUCGGCCACACUGGAACUGAGACACGGUCCAGACUCCUACGGGAGGCAGCAGUAGGGAAUCUUCCGCAAUGGGCGAAAGCCUGACGGAGCAACGCCGCGUGAGUGAUGAAGGUCUUCGGAUCGUAAAACUCUGUUAUUAGGGAAGAACAUAUGUGUAAGUAACUGUGCACAUCUUGACGGUACCUAAUCAGAAAGCCACGGCUAACUACGUGCCAGCAGCCGCGGUAAUACGUAGGCGGCAAGCGUUAUCCGGAAUUAUUGGGCGUAAAGCGCGCGUAGGCGGUUUUUUAAGUCUGAUGUGAAAGCCCACGGCUCAACCGUGGAGGGUCAUUGGAAACUGGAAAACUUGAGUGCAGAAGAGGAAAGUGGAAUUCCAUGUGUAGCGGUGAAAUGCGCAGAGAUAUGGAGGAACACCAGUGGCGAAGGCGACUUUCUGGUCUGUAACUGACGCUGAUGUGCGAAAGCGUGGGGAUCAAACAGGAUUAGAUACCCUGGUAGUCCACGCCGUAAACGAUGAGUGCUAAGUGUUAGGGGGUUUCCGCCCCUUAGUGCUGCAGCUAACGCAUUAAGCACUCCGCCUGGGGAGUACGACCGCAAGGUUGAAGCUCAAAGGAAUUGACGGGGACCCGCACAAGCGGUGGAGCAUGUGGUUUAAUUCGAAGCAACGCGAAGAACCUUACCAAAUCUUGACAUCCUUUGACAACUCUAGAGAUAGAGCUUUCCCCUUCGGGGGACAAAGUGACAGGUGGUGCAUGGUUGUCGUCAGCUCGUGUCGUGAGAUGUUGGGUUAAGUCCCGCAACGAGCGCAACCCUUAAGCUUAGUUGCCAUCAUUAAGUUGGGCACUCUAAGUUGACUGCCGGUGACAAACCGGAGGAAGGUGGGGAUGACGUCAAAUCAUCAUGCCCCUUAUGAUUUGGGCUACACACGUGCUACAAUGGACAAUACAAAGGGCAGCGAAACCGUGAGGUCAAGCAAAUCCCAUAAAGUUGUUCUCAGUUCGGAUUGUAGUCUGCAACUCGACUACAUGAAGCUGGAAUCGCUAGUAAUCGUAGAUCAGCAUGCUACGGUGAAUACGUUCCCGGGUCU
RNAcentral lists this ribosomal RNA (1372 nucleotides) under uncultured bacterium. RNAcentral describes it as "bacterial SSU rRNA". It matches the Rfam family "Bacterial small subunit ribosomal RNA", at positions 28 to 1381 of the family's 1533-position model. The record is from RNAcentral.